Molecule: ribosomal RNA, 440 nt
Filed under: uncultured bacterium
Lineage: Bacteria
Description: partial 16S ribosomal RNA
Rfam family: Bacterial small subunit ribosomal RNA
Source: RNAcentral
CCUACGGGAGGCUGCAGUGGGGAAUAUUGCACAAUGGGGGAAACCCUGAUGCAGCGACGCCGCGUGAGUGAAGAAGUAUCUCGGUAUGUAAAGCUCUAUCAGCAGGGAAGUAAAUGACGGUACCUGAUUAAGAAGCCCCGGCUAACUACGUGCCAGCAGCCGCGGUAAUGCGAAGGGGGCAAGCGUUAUCCGGAUUUACUGGGGUUAAAGGGAGCGUAGACGGCAGCACAAGUCAGGAGUGAAAUGCCGGGGCUUAACCCCGGAACUGCUUUGGAAACUGUGCAGCUUGAGUGCAGGAGAGGUAAGUGGAAUUCGUGGUGUAGCGGUGAAAUGCGUAGAUAUUAGGAGGAACUCCAGUGGCGAAGGCAGCUUACUGGACUGUAACUGACGUUGAGGCUCGAAAGCGUGGGUAGCAAACAGGAUUAGAUACCCUUGUAGUC